GCAAGUCGAACGCGAAAGCAUCUCUUCGGAGAAGCGAGUAGAGUGGCGCACGGGUGAGUAACGCGUAGAUAAUCUACCCUCGUAUUUGGGAUAACCACUCGAAAGGGUGGCUAAUACCGGAUAGUCUUUAUUUGCCGCAAGGUAUUAUAGAGUAAAGGUGACCUCUCGGAGAAGUUGCCGUAUGGGGAUGAGUCUGCGUACCAUUAGCUAGUAGGUGGGGUAAAAGCCUACCUAGGCUACGAUGGUUAGCGGGUCUGAGAGGAUGAUC
RNAcentral lists this ribosomal RNA (268 nucleotides) under uncultured bacterium. Its description in RNAcentral is "partial 16S ribosomal RNA". It matches the Rfam family "Bacterial small subunit ribosomal RNA", at positions 57 to 305 of the family's 1533-position model. The record is from RNAcentral.